UAGCCCGAAUGCGUCACGGACCCAGGUGAGGUAAGUCUCACCUCACACCUUAAUUCCUCUCUCACCGGUUGGUAAUCCUGCUCGUUUCCUUACGACAUGGUUCACAAGAGAGUUGUCUCAAGUCCCCAGUCCAUAUCGAACCUGGAGCCAAGUCAUCAGGUCACCUCGACCCGAGGGCGAGAUCGAGGGGUGGAUUCUACAGAGCAAGGAAUCAAAUAAAUUGCGGGAAUAGGAUCAAACUCAAAGUCAAAUAGAGUUUGUAUUGGGGCGAGGAGAGACCAUCCCCCACAGUAAUAAAAUUUGUGGGCUGUAUACUUUCACUGUUACCAAAAAAAGGUGGGAGAUCUGCCCCUCACUGUGGUCCAAAAAGCUGCUACAAAUCCCAGUGGGGUCCCCUGCUGCGACUUCCUUGGCAAUAAUGUGGACAAUGUGGUUGGCCUCCUGCCAGGAAGACAGUUUUUGGAUCAGGCCAGGUUAUUGAAUGGUAGGGUGUAUGUGUGUGAAAAAAUGAGGAUCUUUCGAGAAAAUAUGCAUCCAUGAUGCUGGAGUUUAGAAGGGUUCCAUGAUUCGCAUAGUCAAAGACAAGGAUUUCACACUAGGGUUGCCUUGGUCAAAAAGGCAUUCACGCUAGGAGUUGGUGUCACCAUGGACCCUGUCAAAGCUUUGGAAAUGUGAUUCAAAAUGGUCCAUCAAUGACCCUAUGUUUUGAAGGACUACUGAAGAAAGAGAUAAAGUGCCCUUGAUUAGUACAUGGUGGAGGAAGCAAUCUUUUUGGGUUUUACAGGGGAUUCAACACGUUUUCUUUUUCAAAGAUUUAAAGGAAUAGGUAGCAAAGUGAGGUCUUUGUCAAAGGGUGGUCCUUUAUUUAUUGUUACCUUGUCCCCCCUGUGGGGCACUAAAUAGCUCUCUUCUGUGCUUGCUUUCUUGGCAUUCAUUGAGGGUUAGGAAAAACCCACAUGCCUCAUCUGAUGAUUUACGCUUAUCCUCAAUUCUAUUAGCAACGCAAGGAUGGGUUCCAAAGAAGUGGUCAAGGGUUCUUGCAGUGACAUUUGACAUGAGAACAAGUUUGAAUUUUCUCACCCUUUGGACAUUUCAGACAAUUCUAAAAGCAUAAUUUUCUACUUGGUGAGAGUUGAUCGUUAUCAAAAUGUUAUUGGUGGGAGUCUUUAUCAAGA
RNA transcript from Amborella trichopoda, 1175 nucleotides. It is a transcript of the gene named hydroxyproline-rich glycoprotein family protein, with no coding region annotated. NCBI's taxonomy places the organism in Eukaryota, Viridiplantae, Streptophyta, Magnoliopsida, Amborellales, Amborellaceae. The record is from RefSeq and is a predicted model, not a curated record.